This is a non-coding RNA of Mycena leptocephala, 91 nucleotides long. NCBI's taxonomy places the organism in Eukaryota, Fungi, Basidiomycota, Agaricomycetes, Agaricales, Mycenaceae. The record is from the annotation of a GenBank genome assembly.
GGCUCGGUAGCAAAUAGUCUGCAUCUGCUUUCCAUUCUGAUUGUUGAAGGGAAUAAUGUAGACAAAGCCUGUUCGACUCAGGCCUGAGCCA